UCCCCGCCGCUGAUUGGGGUCCAUCUCCUCCACCCUCUCAUAUGUCGCCCGCACUGUCCUUCAUCUCAUCUCUGCUUUGUAGAGGCCCAAGAUUCUCGCUAGAGGCGCUCGAGCGCCGUCGACGGGAAGGCGUGGCGGAGGUUGACUAGGUGGAGGAGGAGGAGCUCAGGCCGGAGAGGCAGGGGCCAGUAGGGAAAGUAUCCGAGCGGUGUUUCUGCGGAUGAGUGCGGCCAGCGGCGUUCUACCAAAUCCCCCACGCCUCUACCCAUCCUCUCGACAACAAAAUGUGCGGCUCCACCACGACCCGGUCAACAGGUCAUCAGCAUCGUGUUCUCCUGCGAGGAGGUGCCGUUCAUGAUGGCAACCGCGAGUUCAAGACGGCGGCCGCUUGGAGAUUUGGUCCGUGCUGCUAGACGGGGAUGGGACUGGGAGGACCCGGCACGGAUGGAGAGGAUGGAUCCGGUGGGGCGCCCGUGCCGGUUGAGGUCCUCGAUGUCCUGCUUGAUGUCCUCCGUUCAGCGUGCACGGUGGGGGGUGCAGAGGUGUGAUGCAGAUGGUGGCUUUUGUGUUCCCUAACUGGGUGGUUGUGAUGUUUUUGUCAACGGUUUCUGCAGGUUCCAUGGCGGUGGUAGACAGGCAUUGCCGCUGCCGCAGCUGCGGCAGCUAGCUGUGAUCUCUCUCUCUCUUCUCAUGUAUCUAUCGAUUUACUUAUCCUUACACGGAAGUGAAUGUGGAGGUAGCCAAAUUUAAUGUCUGUUUUUUUCCCGAGAAUUCAAGUUCAUACAAUAUUUGAUCUCUACUUCAGGGUUUUGUUUACGAGCUACAAAACUGAAACCUGGAAACACAAUGGAAGGAUCAAUUCAGAGAAUAUAUGAAGGAAAUCAAUCUAUGCAUUUGAGAGGUUCAUUGUAGCUUUCAUUAUCAGGGCUUUGCUAUGCAUCGAUGCGGAGCUUGAGGAGGCAGAAUUAGAUCCUUAAUUGUGCAGGUCUUCUGACAUCUCUUCAUUGAUAUGAAGGUUUUGAUGCAGGAUGAAAGCAUGCAAGAUGAGAAUGAGUUCACAUCCACCAACCAAGUUAAUCAAGGAACUAAACAUUUAUUAGUUGUUGGAUGCACAUUGUUCUAUGCUCAAUUGAGUUGACACAAAAAGUACACCUGGUUCACCUGGUAGACAACUCUAUAAUUUCAUUGAUUAUAAACUACAAAG
Lolium perenne is the source of this 1204-nucleotide long non-coding RNA. RefSeq lists it as uncharacterized. The record is from RefSeq and is a predicted model, not a curated record. Lineage: Eukaryota; Viridiplantae; Streptophyta; Magnoliopsida; Poales; Poaceae.